Molecule: ribosomal RNA, 548 nt
Filed under: uncultured metazoan
Lineage: Eukaryota; Metazoa
Description: SSU rRNA
Rfam family: Eukaryotic small subunit ribosomal RNA
Source: RNAcentral
UAUUAAAGUUGUUGCAGUUAAAAAGCUCGUAGUUGGAUUUCGGGAUGGGCCAGUCGGUCUGCCGUAAGGUAUGUUACUGGCUGGUCUGUCCUUCUUCGCAAAGACUGCGUGUGCCCUUGAUUGUGUGUGCGUAGGAUUUGCGACGUUUACUUUGAAAAAAUUAGAGUGUUCAAGGCAGGCUGACCGCUUGAAUACAUGAGCAUGGAAUAAUGGAAUAGGACUUUGGUUCUAUUUUGUUGGUUUCUUGAACCGAAGUAAUGAUUAAGAGGGACAGUUGGGGGCAUUCGUAUUUCGUUGUCAGAGGUGAAAUUCUUGGAUUUACGAAAGACGAACAACUGCGAAAGCAUUUGCCAAGAAUGUUUUCAUUAAUCAAGAACGAAAGUUAGAGGCUCGAAGACGAUCAGAUACCGUCCUAGUUCUAACCAUAAACGAUGCCGACUAGGGAUCAGCGGGCGUUAUUUUAUGACCCCGUUGGCACCUUAUGGGAAACCAAAGUUUUUGGGUUCCGGGGGAAGUAUGGUUGCAAAGCUGAAACUUAAAGGAAUUGA